Long non-coding RNA from Glycine soja, 224 nucleotides. RefSeq lists it as uncharacterized. The record is from RefSeq and is a predicted model, not a curated record. The transcript has 3 exons. NCBI's taxonomy places the organism in Eukaryota, Viridiplantae, Streptophyta, Magnoliopsida, Fabales, Fabaceae.
UUUCAGGUUGCUUCUGCACUUCAUGAUAAUUGUAGAGCUGUUCUUGUUGGAAAACGCACAUAUGGCAAGGGUCUAAUCCAAUCUGUAUUUGAGCUUGAUGAUGGAUCUGGUGUGGUUAUCACUGUUGGGAAGUAUGUAACACCAAAUCACAAGGACAUAAACGGCAAUGGAAUAGAGCCUGACUUCCAGAAACUUCCAGCAUGGGAUGAUAUCAGCCGACAUCU